This is an RNA transcript of Galeopterus variegatus (Sunda flying lemur), 1763 nucleotides long. It is a transcript of the gene named phosphatidic acid phosphatase type 2C, with no coding region annotated. The record is from RefSeq and is a predicted model, not a curated record. NCBI's taxonomy places the organism in Eukaryota, Metazoa, Chordata, Mammalia, Dermoptera, Cynocephalidae. The transcript is spliced from 6 exons.
CUGCCCUUCGCCAUCCUGACCCUGGUGAACACCCCGUACAAGCGAGGGUUUUACUGUGGUGAUGAAUCCAUCCGUUACCCCUACCGUCCAGACACCAUCACCCAUGGGCUCAUGGCCGGGGUCACCAUCACAGCCACCGUCAUCCUGGUGUCUGUGGGAGAGGCCUACCUGGUGUACACAGACCGCCUCUACUCACGCUCUGACUUCAACAACUACGUGGCCGCCGUCUACAAGGUGCUGGGGACGUUCCUGUUUGGGGCUGCUGUGAGCCAGUCACUGACAGACCUGGCCAAGUACAUGAUUGGCCGUCUGCGGCCCAACUUCCUGGCCAUCUGCGACCCCGACUGGAGCCGGGUCAACUGCUCAGUCUACGUGCAGCUGGAGGUGUGCAAGGGAAACCCCCUGAAUGUCACUGAGGCCAGGUUGUCUUUUUACUCGGGUCACUCCUCCUUCGGGAUGUACUGCAUGAUGUUCUUGGUGCUCUAUGUGCAGGCGCGGCUCUGCUGGAAGUGGGCUCGCCUCCUACGUCCCACGGUCCAGUUCUUCCUGCUGGCCUUUGCCCUCUACGUGGGCUACACCCGCGUGUCUGACCACAAGCACCACUGGAGUGAUGUCCUCGUUGGCCUCCUGCAGGGAGCACUGGUGGCUGGCCUCACUGUGCGCUAUGUCUCAGACUUCUUCAAAGCCCGACCUCCACAGCGCUGCCUAGAGGACGAGGAGCUGGGACAGAAGCCCAGCCUGUCCCUGACCCUGGCCCUGGGCGACACUGACCGCAACCACUGUGCGUACCCGGUCUCCUCCUCCUGAGGCCAGAGCCCACCCGGGCAGGGCCAUCUGUGAGUCCAGUUGAUGCCCUGGCUGAGGGGCAUGGCCUUGAAAGCCAGGACCACAGCGAUGGUUUUGGCCAAAAGAGAGGAAACAGCUGCAGUGAACACGACUCCAAAUGUGGCUUUCCAGGGGACACAGGUGGCUGAGCUGGGGCAGAGGAGAACGGUGCAGCUGAGAGUCUGGUUGGGGUCUUGGUGCUUCCCAAAGACCCGCAGGACCACAGAUGUGAGCAGAGAAGGAAUGAGCAGUGCUGGCCAGAGUACUUCCCGUGGGAUCCUUGAAAGCUAGAAAGGUCACAGCCUGUGGGAGACAGCCAUCUCUGCUACUGUUUGGGCCUUGGUCAUGUGGACACGUCACACACUGGUCUGCAUCUGAUGAGAAAGGCAGAGAGGCGCAGUGAGGGGUAUAAUCACUUCAUGCCAGAGCUCUGUUGUGGGACUUAGGGCAGGUGUACAUCCAACCUUAGAACUGCACCUGACUUCAGUGAACCCAGUGGGUUCUCUGUCACGUCCUGCUGGAUGGCAUAUUCUUGACCCCAUGGAGACUGAGGGACAAACCGUCCCACCCUCACCAGAAUCUACAGUCCAGCACUAAAGUUCUCAUAGAUCAGAGUAUCAUAUCGAGCCAGAUGUUUUCUUUUCUCAUAUGACGAAACCUGCUCCCCAGCAGUAUUGUUAACCUGGCUGCUCCCCAGGUUACAAUGGAGCUAAAUGAGAUGCAUUGCCAUGUAAUGAAAAGUGAAUUCGAAAAAUAGAACAAUCCCAACAAGAAAACAUUUAAAAUAUUUUAGAUGCUACCUGUAUAGAAAAUCACUUGCAUUGCUAACUUUCAAGUGUAAAAAUAGGAAUAUUUGCAUUGUACAACACAAUAUCAUGUGACUAUCAUAAAAGAUAGUAGAUGACACACUUGGCACAAUAAAACUUUAUGUAUUAAAA